Non-coding RNA from Pelobates cultripes (western spadefoot toad), 719 nucleotides. The record is from the annotation of a GenBank genome assembly. NCBI's taxonomy places the organism in Eukaryota, Metazoa, Chordata, Amphibia, Anura, Pelobatidae.
GGGAGCUGCAGUUCUGCAACACCAGGAGAGCCACCUUAACCCUCCCCCUGUAGUUUCUUACUAUUUAGAAAGGCUUGCCAACUAUUCCUCUUGUUGUGUAUCCUCCUUCUGCAGUUCAUGUGAAAUCUCUUAUCACACCCCUGCCUUAUCUUUAAUGUGUAAAGUAUUCAGUAAAUCCAAUGAAUCCAACCUUGUUUAACCAUGAUCUCAUGUAGGAUAACAGGGUCAGCUCCCAGAUGCUCAAAUCUCCAAAAUUCUAAAGAGAACCUUCCUUGGUGUAUUUACUAUAAUUUCUUGAGGAUUAAUUGCUCUAUUGUCUAUGUGGCCUGUGUCACCUUCUGGUUUAGAUAAAGAGCAACAGUGGGAUUAAUUCUUAAUCAGAUGGCAUGAUAUAUUGGUGUGGGAAUGCAGUCUAGCAGCCAUUCUGAGUCAGCUGUUCUGAUGAUAAUGUUUCUUGCCUGCCUCUUGUGUCUGGCUGCCCACAUGGGCAGCAGCCUGGCUUCUUGUCCCAAAAGAUGUACUUGCAAUUUCCCCAGGGUAAUUCAGUGUUUUAGGGUGUCAGAUGUACCUGGGGACAUCCCUGACAGCACCAGGAAGCUGUACAUAAGCCACAGCAAAAUCAAGCACUUUCAGGUAAUUAUAAGACUACUACUAUUCUCAUUAUUGUCAAUUUAUAUAUAUAAUUUCUAAUAAUACCUUAGGACUGAUUUUUGUUCCUU